This 400-nucleotide ribosomal RNA is filed under the name uncultured Clostridium sp. RNAcentral's name for it is "bacterial SSU rRNA". It matches the Rfam family "Bacterial small subunit ribosomal RNA", at positions 975 to 1375 of the family's 1533-position model. Lineage: Bacteria; Bacillati; Bacillota; Clostridia; Eubacteriales; Clostridiaceae. The record is from RNAcentral.
CAGGUCUUGACAUCCCUCUGACCGGUCCGUAACGGGACCUUUCCUUCGGGACAGAGGAGACAGGUGGUGCAUGGUUGUCGUCAGCUCGUGUCGUGAGAUGUUGGGUUAAGUCCCGCAACGAGCGCAACCCCUAUCCUUAGUAGCCAGCAGUUCGGCUGGGCACUCUAGGGAGACUGCCAGGGAUAACCUGGAGGAAGGCGGGGAUGACGUCAAAUCAUCAUGCCCCUUAUGAUCUGGGCUACACACGUGCUACAAUGGUGACUACAAAGGGAAGCAACCCUGUGAAGGUGAGCAAAUCCCAAAAAGGUCAUCCCAGUUCGGAUUGUAGUCUGCAACUCGACUACAUGAAGCUGGAAUCGCUAGUAAUCGCGAAUCAGAAUGUCGCGGUGAAUACGUUCCC